This 1705-nucleotide long non-coding RNA is filed under the name Homo sapiens (human). Its description in RNAcentral is "HSALNT0324609". The record is from RNAcentral. Lineage: Eukaryota; Metazoa; Chordata; Mammalia; Primates; Hominidae.
AAGUGAGCAGUGACAAUCUAGACUGAUUAUUAGAGGUACUUCUCCCACUUUUCAGAAACCAAGGAGCCUUUGAUUAGUAGUGAAAUUGUGGCACCCCAACUACAGUGGAGUGGAAUGUCCUGCUAUUCUGGAGGGGUGAUGGCUCAGGGUCAAGACUGGACUAAUUAGAAAAAAAAAUGCACUCCAGGAAUAUCAAGUCCGAAACAAAGCUCAUUUCUCAUGUGCGCUCCAGGAGUAUCAAGUCCAAAACAAAGCUCUUCAAACCACCUAGGAAGAGAAAACAGCAUGACAAGGAAAGGACCCUGAUGUCUGAGGAAGAAGGUUCACAUCCAACUCUGCCCCUGGUGUGUCACGUGCCGGCCUUGUCAACGCACACGAGAACCUGACAGGGUCCCAUGGAAUUCAGACAAGGAAGUAAAGCAAAUGAGAAUGGCCCACAGGGGAGCAGUUCAAAUGCGCAGAAAAAGAUAGAGCAGCCCCAAUGAGGAAGGAAGGCUGGACAAGAAAUGGAUUUGUAGGGAAGACAAUGUGCACCCAUCGGAGCUCUGAUUGCUUUACUUUCACUACCCUCCCCUGCCCACUAACAUCGAAAAAGUAUCAAUGAUUUGUGAACAUGGCAUAUGGCAUACGAACACCCUGAGAGUAGGAUCGUGGGGCAUCCGAUGGUGAUUGUCCUUAGAGUUGGUGGGGGCCCAGCUUCCCGCUGUCUGUGAACUGCUGCGUGCAGAAUCGGUGUCUUCUUUAACUUCACAACGAUGCCACAAGGCAAAUAGCAUUGUCUUCACUUUCUGUGUAAGAAAACUAAGGCUGGGUGAGAGUAUGCAGAGCUGGAUCAUGGAUUUGUUUGGCUCCUUCUAGUUUGAAAACCUAAGUUAAAAGCUGAGAUCGUGAGGAUUUCCAGGGACUCCUGCCACCAGCUCAUCUCACAUCAUCAUUUACAUGGAAAUGUUGGGACUGAGGUGACCUCAUGCCUCUCAAUUCCCAGCCAGCCUUCUCUCCCUCUGGCUCCUAGCCAGCCUGUUAAACAGAAAAAAUAAGUGAGACAAAUAAAAAACACCCUAGUGUUCUAACAAGUUACACAUAAUUGCUUGCUUACCAAUUGUCUACCUCAGAACUUUGUUUUCCUCUUAGAGUCAAUAUAAUCAUUAAAUUCAGCUUCUGCCAUUUUACAGUCUGAGAUGCGGGACUUUGCAUAGGGCAUGGAUGGGUUUCCACAGUCCACACGAGGAUGGGAGGAGAGCAGGGCAGACCCAGCCACACUCAGUGAGAGUUCUGGCUGGAGUUACUUGGCUGGACAUCACUCCAGAGAGAGGAGACCUUCUUCUGGACCAGCUACCAAGACAGCCCCUAGUUGGAAAAUCUUUUCUUCUAAGGUGAGAUGCAGCCCCCACUGGAGAGGAAAACACCAGAGAGUUUUUAAAAAGGAAAAACCAAGGUAAGCUGAGGAGCUUCUUGACAGGAGACACAGCGGAGUCCACGCAACUGGGGUGAAUCUCUGCAGUUCCCCAACAGGACGGCGGGAGGGAGCCCCAAGACACUGGCCCCUGCAGUGUGGGAGCAGUGUGAGCCAUCUGCAGUGACAUUGUCUCCUCUGGCAGCAGCCUCCAUCCCGAAAUCCAUCUCAGGGUCUGUCCUUACAGGAACCUGAUGCCAGAGCUGUGCGCUCAAAGUAUUUGGACACAGGUAUUCUGUGUAACUGAGCAUU